CUCCGGUUGAUCCCGCCGGACCCGACUGCUAUCGGAUUGAGAUUUAGCCAUGCGAGUCGAACGUCUCCCUGUUGCGGGGGGCGUGGCGUACGGCUCAGUAACACGUAGUCAACCUGCCCUGGAGACAAGGACAACCCCGGGAAACUGGGAUUAAUCCUUGAUAGGUCAUCUCAUCUGGAAGGAGAGAUGGCUUAAAGGGGUACGCGGGCUUCUUCCGCGAAUUCGCUCCAGGAUGGGACUGCGUCCGAUCAGGCUGUUGGCGGGGUAAUGGCCCACCAAACCUGUAACCGGUACGGGCCUUGAGAGAGGUGGCCCGGAGAUGGACACUGAGAGAAGGGUCCAGGUCCUACGGGGCGCAGCAGGCGCGAAACCUUCGCAAUGCGCGAAAGCGUGACGAGGUUAAUCCGAGUGACUCCCGCUUAGGGGGUCUUUUGUCAGCUGUAAAUAGGCAGGCGAAUAAGGGGAGGGCAAGCCUGGUGUCAGCCGCCGCGGUAAUACCAGCUCCUCGAGUGGUCGGGGCGAUUAUUGGGCCUAAAGCAUCCGUAGCCGGUUCCGUAGGUCCUCUGUUAAAUCCAACCGCUUAACGGUUGACCUGCAGAGGAUACCGCGGGACUAGGAGGCGGGAGAGGCGGACGGUACUCCGCGUGUAGGGGUAAAAUCCUUUGAUCCGCGGAAGACCACCAGUGGCGAAGGCGGUCCGCCAGAACGCGCUCGACGGUGAGGGACGAAAGCUGGGGGAGCGAACCGGAUUAGAUAUCCGGGUAGUCCCAGCCGUAAACGAUGCUAGCUAGAUGAUUCAUUCGCAAGUCGCGAAUGAAGUGUCGCAGGGAAGCCGUUAAGCUAGCCGCCUGGGGAGUACGGUCGCAAGACUGAAACUUAAAGGAAUUGGCGGGGGAGCA
RNAcentral lists this ribosomal RNA (899 nucleotides) under uncultured archaeon. RNAcentral's name for it is "bacterial SSU rRNA". It matches the Rfam family "Archaeal small subunit ribosomal RNA", at positions 1 to 878 of the family's 1478-position model. The record is from RNAcentral.